RNAcentral lists this ribosomal RNA (905 nucleotides) under uncultured bacterium. Its description in RNAcentral is "bacterial SSU rRNA". It matches the Rfam family "Bacterial small subunit ribosomal RNA", at positions 9 to 914 of the family's 1533-position model. The record is from RNAcentral.
GAGUUUGAUCAUGGCUCAGGACGAACGCUGGCGGCGUGCCUCAUACAUGCAAGUCGAGCGGAUGCAGGAAUGCAUUAGCGGCGGACGGGUGAGUAACACGUGGGCAACCUGGCCUUAAGAGGGGGAUAACGUUCCGAAAGGGACGCUAAUACCGCGUAAAUCAGCGAAAUCGCAUGAUUUUGUUGGAAAAGGAGAAAUCCGCUUAAGGAUGGGCCCGCGGCCUAUUAGCUAGUUGGUAGGGUAACGGCCUACCAAGGCGACGAUAGGUAGCCGACCUGAGAGGAUGAUCAGCCACACUGGCACUGGAACACGGGCCAGGCUCCUACGGGAGGCAGCAGUGAGGAAUUUUGCGCAAUGGGAGCAAUCCUGACGCAGCAACGCCGCGCGGGUGAAGAAGGCCUUCGGGUCGUAAAGCCCUGUCAGGUGGGAAGAAGGGUCCUAUCAGGAAAGGGGUGGGAUUUGACGGUACCACCAGAGGAAGCACCGGCUAACUCCGUGCCAGCAGCCGCGGUAAUACGGAGGGUGCGAGCGUUAUUCGGAAUUACUGGGCGUAAAGCGCGUGUAGGCGGGGGAGCAAGUCUGAUGUGAAAGCCCCGGGCUUAACCCGGGAAGUGCAUUGGAAACUGUUUUUCUUGAGUACUGGAGAGGAAGGGGGAAUUCCCGGUGUAGAGGUGAAAUUCGUAGAGAUCGGGAGGAAUACCAGUGGCGAAGGCGCCCUUCUGGACGGUUACUGACGCUGAGACGCGAAAGCGCGGGGAGCAAACAGGAUUAGAUACCCUGGUAGUCCACGCUGUAAACGAUGAGCACUAGGUGUAGCGGGUACUCAUUCCUGCUGUGCCGCAGCUAACGCGUUAAGUGCUCCGCCUGGGGACUACGGUCGCAAGACUAAACUCAAAGGAAUUGAC